Long non-coding RNA from Numida meleagris (helmeted guineafowl), 997 nucleotides. RefSeq lists it as uncharacterized. The record is from RefSeq and is a predicted model, not a curated record. The transcript has 2 exons. NCBI's taxonomy places the organism in Eukaryota, Metazoa, Chordata, Aves, Galliformes, Numididae.
AUGGGGGUCCCCUCCCUGCAGGGAACGCCGGGGGGAGCGGUGCCCUCUGCCUUACCCGGUAUUUGUUCUCGCCGAUCUGCUCCACUUGAAACCUCUUGGCACACUUGCACUGGGCCACUUGCCUGGUGACCUGCACCGGAGAAAGCGAGCUUGUUUCAGGCAGACAGACUUACUGGACGCCAGGAUGCCAUCGAUGAACUCCUGCCGGGUGAUCUUCCCAUCCUGGUCCUUGUCGAUGCGCCGGAAGAAAUCCAUCACGCGGGACUUCUUGUGGUUCAUCCAGCGCAUGUACUUCUUCCGCCAGACAUCGAAGUCGAAGUUUGCAAACUCCUUCAACUGGAAGGAAAUCGCGAGUCAGCGUGGGAACCCCACAGGAACCACGGGGAACCCCCACCCCCCGCCCCCUCCGCAUCAGCCCCAGGGGGACGAGCGCGGGCCCUCCCAGCACAGAAGGACACACAGCGCAGGGGACAGCCACCACGUCACCACGGACACGGGACGGAGCAUCCCCACGGCCGCGCGGACACACAGGCAGCGCUAGCUACGUGCACACGGACGCACACACACCCUGCUCGGACACGCGGGCUCCUCGCUGCCUGCUGCCACCUCCGCCCUCUCCCCUCCCCUGAGCAGCACCCAGCGCCGUGCUCUCUCCCACAUGGGGCGCAGCCCGGCACCCUCAGCCCUGCAGCAGUGCCGCCAGCCCGCAGCAAACCUCUCGCCCUCCUCCUAACCCCUCCUAACCCCCCAGGGACCCCACCCGCUGCAGGAGCUCACAGCAAGGUGACAAUGGUUUUGAGCACUUUCUUCUUUUCUUUUCUUUUUUUUUUUUAAACAUUUCUCAAGUUAGAAGCAACAAAGGAAAAAUAAAACACUGAUACGCAGAAACUGAACUGACCUACAGAAAAAGCAACGAAAAACAAAAACACUCACUUCUGGGCAUAGCUGCUUUGUUAAGCGUAAAUAAAAACAAAAAUUACAUUAGAUGAUUGGAAAA